GUGUCAGCCGCCGCGGUAAUACGGAGGGGGUUAGCGUUGUUCGGAAUUACUGGGCGUAAAGCGCGCGUAGGCGGAUCAGAAAGUUAGGGGUGAAAUCCCAGGGCUCAACCCUGGAACUGCCUCUAAAACUCCUGGUCUUGAGGUCGAGAGAGGUGAGUGGAAUUCCGAGUGUAGAGGUGAAAUUCGUAGAUAUUCGGAGGAACACCAGUGGCGAAGGCGACUCACUGGCUCGAUACUGACGCUGAGGUGCGAAAGCGUGGGGAGCAAACAGGAUUAGAAACCCGCGUAGUCC
Molecule: ribosomal RNA, 292 nt
Filed under: uncultured prokaryote
Description: partial 16S ribosomal RNA
Rfam family: Bacterial small subunit ribosomal RNA
Source: RNAcentral